GAUGAACGCUGGCGGCGUGCCUAAUACAUGCAAGUCGAGCGAACAGACGAGGAGCUUGCUCCUCUGACGUUAGCGGCGGACGGGUGAGUAACACGUGGAUAACCUACCUAUAAGACUGGGAUAACUUCGGGAAACCGGAGCUAAUACCGGAUAAUAUAAUGAACCGCAUGGUUCAAUAGUGAAAGACGGUUUUGCUGUCACUUAUAGAUGGAUCCGCGCCGCAUUAGCUAGUUGGUAAGGUAACGGCUUACCGAGGCGACGAUGCGUAGCCGACCUGAGAGGGUGAUCGGCCACACUGGAACUGAGACACGGUCCAGACUCCUACGGGAGGCAGCAGUAGGGAAUCUUCCGCAAUGGGCGAAAGCCUGACGGAGCAACGCCGCGUGAGUGAUGAAGAUCUUCGGAUCGUAAAACUCUGUUAUUAGGGAAGAACAAAUGUGUAAGUAACUAUGCACGUCUUGACGGUACCUAAUCAGAGAGCCACGGCUAACUACGUG
Molecule: ribosomal RNA, 497 nt
Filed under: uncultured bacterium
Lineage: Bacteria
Description: partial 16S ribosomal RNA
Rfam family: Bacterial small subunit ribosomal RNA
Source: RNAcentral